UGGGGAAUAUUGGACAAUGGGGGGAACCCUGAUCCAGCCAUGCCGCGUGUGUGAAGAAGGCCUUAUGGUUGUAAAGCACUUUAAGCGAGGAGGAGGCUACCCUAGUUAAUACCUGGGGAUAGUGGACGUUACUCGCAGAAUAAGCACCGGCUAACUCUGUG
This 161-nucleotide ribosomal RNA is filed under the name uncultured bacterium. RNAcentral's name for it is "partial 16S ribosomal RNA". It matches the Rfam family "Bacterial small subunit ribosomal RNA", at positions 355 to 507 of the family's 1533-position model. The record is from RNAcentral.